Molecule: ribosomal RNA, 267 nt
Filed under: uncultured bacterium
Lineage: Bacteria
Description: partial 16S ribosomal RNA
Rfam family: Bacterial small subunit ribosomal RNA
Source: RNAcentral
GUCCUAGCCCUAAACGAUGCUCAUUAGAUGUGGGAGGUAUCGACCCCUUCCGCGUCGUAGCUAACGCAUUAAAUGAGCCGCCUGGGGAGUACGGCCGCAAGGUUGAAACUCAAAGGAAUUGACGGGGGCCCGCACAAGCGGUGGAGCAUGUGGUUUAAUUCGACGCAACGCGAAGAACCUUACCUGGGCUUGAACUACGGAUGGUAAGUCCUUGGAAACAGGGGCUGACCCGCAAGGGAGUCCGCAGAGGUGCUGCAUGGUUGUCGU